Molecule: ribosomal RNA, 1500 nt
Filed under: Vibrio alginolyticus
Lineage: Bacteria; Pseudomonadati; Pseudomonadota; Gammaproteobacteria; Vibrionales; Vibrionaceae
Description: partial 23S ribosomal RNA
Rfam family: Bacterial large subunit ribosomal RNA
Source: RNAcentral
GAUGCCUUGGCAGUCAGAGGCGAUGAAGGACGUAUUAACUUGCGAUAAGCCCAGAUUAGGUAGUAAAAACCAUUUGAGUCUGGGAUUUCCGAAUGGGGAAACCCAAUACCAUAAGGUAUUACUGUUGAGUGAAUACAUAGCUCAACAGGGCGAACCGGGGGAACUGAAACAUCUAAGUACCCCGAGGAAAAGAAAUCAACCGAGAUUCCGAAAGUAGCGGCGAGCGAAAUUGGACUAGCCCUUAAGCUUUACACGCGUUAGACGAACAGCCUGGAAAGGCCGACGAUACAGGGUGAUAGUCCCGUAGUUGACGACGUGUGUUCAGUGAAAUCGAGUAGGGCGGGACACGUGAUAUCCUGUCUGAAUAUGGGGGGACCAUCCUCCAAGGCUAAAUACUACUGACUGACCGAUAGUGAACCAGUACCGUGAGGGAAAGGCGAAAAGAACCCCUGUGAGGGGAGUGAAAUAGAACCUGAAACCGUGUACGUACAAGCAGUAGGAGCAGGCUUUGUCCUGUGACUGCGUACCUUUUGUAUAAUGGGUCAGCGACUUAUAUUCAGUGGCAAGGUUAACCAUCUAGGGGAGCCGUAGGGAAACCGAGUCUUAACUGGGCGUUCAGUCUCUGGAUAUAGACCCGAAACCAGGUGAUCUAGCCAUGGGCAGGUUGAAGGUUGAGUAACAUCAACUGGAGGACCGAACCGACUAAUGUUGAAAAAUUAGCGGAUGACUUGUGGCUAGGGGUGAAAGGCCAAUCAAACCUGGAGAUAGCUGGUUCUCCCCGAAAGCUAUUUAGGUAGCGCCUCGGACGAAUACUACUGGGGGUAGAGCACUGUUAAGGCUAGGGGGUCAUCCCGACUUACCAACCCUUUGCAAACUCCGAAUACCAGUAAGUACUAUCCGGGAGACACACGGCGGGUGCUAACGUCCGUCGUGGAGAGGGAAACAACCCAGACCGCCAGCUAAGGUCCCAAAUUACUACUAAGUGGGAAACGAUGUGGGAAGGCUCAGACAGCCAGGAUGUUGGCUUAGAAGCAGCCAUCAUUUAAAGAAAGCGUAAUAGCUCACUGGUCGAGUCGGCCUGCGCGGAAGAUGUAACGGGGCUAAGUAGUAAACCGAAGCUGCGGCAAUAUACUUUUGUAUAUUGGGUAGGGGAGCGUUCUGUAAGCGGUUGAAGGUGUGUGGUAACGCAUGCUGGACGUAUCAGAAGUGCGAAUGCUGACAUGAGUAACGAUAAAGGGGGUGAAAAACCUCCUCGCCGGAAGACCAAGGGUUCCUGUCCAACGUUAAUCGGGGCAGGGUAAGUCGACCCCUAAGGCGAGGCCGAAAGGCGUAGUCGAUGGGAAACGGGUUAAUAUUCCCGUACUUCUUACAAUUGCGAUGGGGGGACGGAGAAGGCUAGGUGGGCCUGGCGACGGUUGUCCAGGUUCAAGUGCGUAGGCUGAGAAAUUAGGUAAAUCCGGUUUCUCUUAAGGCUGAGACACGACGUCGAGCAUCUACGGA